This 199-nucleotide long non-coding RNA is filed under the name Arabidopsis lyrata. Its description in RNAcentral is "long non-coding RNA (ALYR_LNC002831)". The record is from RNAcentral. Lineage: Eukaryota; Viridiplantae; Streptophyta; Magnoliopsida; Brassicales; Brassicaceae.
CGUACUAAUAAUUGAGAAAAUACUCUCCAUAAAAAAGGAGGAAUAUGAUAUAAUCCGGAUAAUACAAAUGAAUCUUAAAGCCAAACUUCUUAUUUUGGUGGGCCAAACAGGCUUUAAGUCCAUAAAACUUUCUAGGCUUAGACAGACCUGAAUAAAAACGUAAAUGGGCCAAGCCCAAACCCGUUUUAAUAGCAAAUAU